RNAcentral lists this ribosomal RNA (796 nucleotides) under uncultured archaeon. RNAcentral's name for it is "bacterial SSU rRNA". It matches the Rfam family "Archaeal small subunit ribosomal RNA", at positions 85 to 879 of the family's 1478-position model. RNAcentral also lists the same sequence under 1 other name. The record is from RNAcentral.
ACGGCUCAGUAACACGUGGAUAACCUGCCCUUGGGUCCGGCAUAACCCCGGGAAACUGGGGAUAAUUCCGGAUAACGCACAUAUGCUGGAAUGCUUUAUGCGUAAAAUGGAUUCGUCUGCCCAAGGAUGGGUCUGCGGCCUAUCAGGUAGUAGUGGGUGUAAUGUACCUACUAGCCAACAACGGGUACGGGUUGUGAGAGCAAGAGCCCGGAGAUGGAUUCUGAGACAUGAAUCCAGGCCCUACGGGGCGCAGCAGGCGCGAAAACUUUACAAUGCGGGAAACCGUGAUAAGGGGACACCGAGUGCCAGCAUCAUAUGCUGGCUGUCCAGGUGUGUAAAAUACACCUGUCAGCAAGGGCCGGGCAAGACCGGUGCCAGCCGCCGCGGUAACACCGGCGGCCCGAGUGGUGAUCGUGAUUAUUGGGUCUAAAGGGUCCGUAGCCGGUUUGGUCAGUCCUCCGGGAAAUCUGACGGCUCAACCGUUAGGCUUUCGGGGGAUACUGCCAGGCUUGGAACCGGGAGAGGUAAGAGGUACUACAGGGGUAGGAGUGAAAUCUUGUAAUCCCUGUGAGACCACCUGUGGCGAAGGCGUCUUACCAGAACGGGUUCGACGGUGAGGGACGAAAGCUGGGGGCACGAACCGGAUUAGAUACCCGGGUAGUCCCAGCCGUAAACGAUGCUCGCUAGGUGUCAGGCAUGGCGCGACCGUGUCUGGUGCCGCAGGGAAGCCGUGAAGCGAGCCACCUGGGAAGUACGGCCGCAAGGCUGAAACUUAAAGGAAUUGGCGGGGGAGCAC